AUUGAACGCUGGCGGCAGGCCUAACACAUGCAAGUCGAGCGGAUGAAGAGAGCUUGCUCUCUGAUUCAGCGGCGGACGGGUGAGUAAUGCCUAGGAAUCUGCCUGGUAGUGGGGGACAACGUUUCGAAAGGAACGCUAAUACCGCAUACGUCCUACGGGAGAAAGCAGGGGACCUUCGGGCCUUGCGCUAUUAGAUGAGCCUAGGUCGGAUUAGCUAGUUGGUGAGGUAAUGGCUCACCAAGGCGACGAUCCGUAACUGGUCUGAGAGGAUGAUCAGUCACACUGGAACUGAGACACGGUCCAGACUCCUACGGGAGGCAGCAGUGGGGAAUAUUGGACAAUGGGCGAAAGCCUGAUCCAGCCAUGCCGCGUGUGUGAAGAAGGUCUUCGGAUUGUAAAGCACUUUAAGUUGGGAGGAAGGGUUGUAGAUUAAUACUCUGCAAUUUUGACGUUACCGACAGAAUAAGCACCGGCUAACUCUGUG
Molecule: ribosomal RNA, 484 nt
Filed under: uncultured bacterium
Lineage: Bacteria
Description: bacterial SSU rRNA
Rfam family: Bacterial small subunit ribosomal RNA
Source: RNAcentral